AUGCUGAGGAGGGAAAAGUCUUCAUGGAGACGGGUGGCCCCUGUAAUAAGGAAGACAACACUGGAUUCCUGGGCGAACAGCAGGGCAGGGUCCUUAGGUCCCAACAUAGGUGCCCAGGCCCAGAUGAGAUUCCCCAGUGGCCCCGAGGGGGCGCCCGGGACACCCUGGGUGGCCCAGUGUCCUCCCAUCACCCUUGCCCCUGGGCACCAUCCUCCUUGGCCUGGAAACCCUGAGCUCCCUGACGCCCCCGCCCCUCUCCCUACCUGUGCCAGGGAAGGCUGCUGCUCUCUGUCAGCCCUGGAGCCCCUCCUCCCCCAGCUCCUCUCACCCCUCCCUGUGGUCCUUGCCAAUCGCCCUGAGCCCGAAAAGGUGGGGGACUCUUGGAGAGACGGGGUCCUGGAUCCCCAGCCCUGGGGUCCCCUACUCACAGGGUCAGAUACGCUAACAAAGGCCAAGCACCCUGCCAAGCGGUGUCCUGGAUUGGGGUGGGCAUGGGGGUUCGCCUCAGGUCCAGGCUCCGGGAUGUCGUGCAGGACAGGGCGCGGCUGCGGCUGUGGCGGGGGCACUGGCUGGAAGCCGGAACUCCCGGCCUCGAGGGCGGAAAGUGUGGCCAGUACGGCGUGCUGGGGGGGCCAUGGCCCCGUUGCCAGGCAGCGCCUCCCUGGACGCCAGUUGCCAUGGAAGCCGGUUCCUGCCCAUGUUGCCACGGUGUCCAGGUGGCCUCGGGGAGUCUGGUUCAGAGGGGCCGCCCUGUGCCCUUGCCCGUCCUCCGCUGCCCAGUUAUGGGCUGGGAGGGCAAAGAGGAGGAGAGGCUGCGACGCCCAGCAUGGAGACCCAAGUCCUUCCUGCUGGAGCUGGGCUGCGGCCCAGGGCAGGGGCCAGAUGUGGCUGUUCUGCUGUCCGCACUGCGGACUUGAUGUUCAUACCCCAAGCUCAUUUUAUUUAUUUUCUAUUUUUAUUAAGACAGGGUCUCACUGUUGCCCAGGCUGGAGUGCAGUGGUACGACCACAACUCACUGAAGCCUCCAACUGGGCUCAAGGGAUUCUCCCACCUCAGCCUCCUGUGUACUGGGGACCAUAG
RNAcentral lists this long non-coding RNA (1080 nucleotides) under Papio anubis (olive baboon). RNAcentral describes it as "lncRNA (ENSPANG00000044898.1)". Lineage: Eukaryota; Metazoa; Chordata; Mammalia; Primates; Cercopithecidae. The record is from RNAcentral.